This 1466-nucleotide ribosomal RNA is filed under the name metagenome. RNAcentral's name for it is "bacterial SSU rRNA". It matches the Rfam family "Bacterial small subunit ribosomal RNA". The record is from RNAcentral.
AGAGUUUGAUCCUGGCUCAGAUUGAACGCUGGCGGCAUGGUUAAAGCAUGCAAGUCGAACGAGGACCCCGCAAGGGGCGAAAGUGGCGAACGGGCGAGUAAUACGUUUCUAACGUACCUUAGAGCCGGGGAUAGCUCGGAGAAAUCCGGGAUAAUACCCGAUAAUCCCAUCUGGACGCAUGUUCGGAUGGGCAAAGGCUUGCUUCUCUAAGAUCGGGAAACGCGCUAUCAGGUAGUUGGUGGGGUAAUGGCCUACCAAGCCUAAGACGGCUAGCGGGUGUGAGAGCACGGCCCGCCGCAUCGGGACUGAGACACUGCCCGGACUCCUACGGGAGGCUGCAGCAACGAAUCUUCCACAAUGUGCGAAAGCAUGAUGGAGCAAUGCCGCGUGUAGGACGAAGCCCCUUGGGGUGUAAACUACUGUCAGGGGUUAGAAAGCAAGUGAUCAACCCCAGAGGAAGGGCCGGCUAACUUCGUGCCAGCAGCCGCGGUAAUACGAAGGGCCCGAGCGUUAAUCGGAAUCACUGGGCUUAAAGGGUGCGUAGGCGGAAGGGCAAGUACCUUGUGAAAUCCCAGCGCUCAACGCUGGAACUGCGAGGUAUACUACUUUUCUUGAGGUUGGCAGAGGUUGCUGGAACUCUAGGUGUAGCGGUGAAAUGCGUAGAUAUCUAGGGGAACGCCAAUGGUGAAGACAGGCAACUGGGCCAAUUCUGACGCUGAGGCACGAAAGCGUGGGGAGCAAACAGGAUUAGAUACCCUGGUAGUCCACGCCGUAAACGAUGCGCACUAAAUCUCGGUGGCUCUGACGCCGUCGGGAUUAAAGCAAAAGUGCUGAGUGCGCCGCCUGGGGAGUACGGUCGCAAGACUAAAACUCAAAGGAAUUGACGGGGGCUCACACAAGCGGUGGAGCAUGUGGCUUAAUUCGAGGCAACGCGAAGAACCUUAUCCUGGACUUGACAUGUACGGAUUAGUUGGUGGAAACAUCAAUGACACUCUUUGAGUGGAACGUGCACAGGUGCUGCAUGGCUGUCGUCAGCUCGUGCUGUGAAGUGUCGGGUUAAGUCCCUUAACGAGCGAAACCCCUGCUGCUAGUUGCUAACAGGUAAUGCUGAGGACUCUAGCGGGACUGCCGGUGUCAAACCGGAGGAAGGUGGGGAUGACGUCAAGUCCUCAUGGCCUUUAUGUCCAGGGCUGCACACGUGCUACAAUGGCAAUUACAAAGCGAAGCGAUAUCGCGAGAUGGAGCAAAUCGCAAAAAAAUUGCCUCAGUUCAGAUUGCAGUCUGCAACUCGACUGCAUGAAGUUGGAAUCGCUAGUAAUCGCGUAUCAGCUACGACGCGGUGAAUAUGUUCCUGAGCCUUGUACACACCGCCCGUCAAGUCAUGGAAGCCGGAAGCACCCGAAGCCGCUACGAUUCAGUAGUGUCGACGGUGAGUUCGGUGACUGGGACUAAGUCGUAACAAGGUA